This 66-nucleotide transfer RNA is filed under the name Empoascanara plamka. RNAcentral describes it as "tRNA-Phe". The record is from RNAcentral. Lineage: Eukaryota; Metazoa; Arthropoda; Insecta; Hemiptera; Cicadellidae.
AUUUUAAUAGCUCAUAUAUUAGAGUUUUAUAUUGAAGUUAUAAAGGAGAAUUUAAUUCUUAAAAUA